CCAGACUCCUACGGGAGGCAGCAGUGGGGAAUAUUGGACAAUGGGGGGAACCCUGAUCCAGCGACGCCGCGUGAGUGAAGAAGUAUCUCGGUAUGUAAAGCUCUAUCAGCAGGGAAGAAAGAAAUGACGGUACCUGACUAAGAAGCCCCGGCUAACUACGUGCCAGCAGCCGCGGUAAUACGUAGGGGGCAAGCGUUAUCCGGAAUCACUGGGUGUAAAGGGAGCGUAGACGGCUGAGCAAGCCUGAAGUGAAAGGCGGGGGCCCAACCCCCGGACUGCUUUGGGAACUGUACGGCUGGAGUGCAGGAGAGGUAAGUGGAAUUCCUAGUGUAGCGGUGAAAUGCGUAGAUAUUAGGAGGAACACCAGUGGCGAAGGCGGCCUGCUGGGCUUUUACUGACGCUGAGGCUCGAAAGUGUGGGGAGCAAACAGGAUUAGAUACCCGAGUA
RNAcentral lists this ribosomal RNA (447 nucleotides) under uncultured bacterium. RNAcentral describes it as "bacterial SSU rRNA". It matches the Rfam family "Bacterial small subunit ribosomal RNA", at positions 331 to 792 of the family's 1533-position model. The record is from RNAcentral.